ACGGGGCGCAGCAGGCGCGAAAACUCCACAAUGCGCGAAAGCGUGAUGGGGUUACCCCGAGUGCCUUCCGAUGAGGAGGGCUUUUACUCAGUGUAAGGAGCUGGGGGAAUAAAGGGGGGGCAAGACUGGUGUCAGCCGCCGCGGUAAUACCAGCCCCCUGAGUGAUAGGGGCGAUUGUUAAGCCUAAAGCGUUCGUAGCCGGCUUGGAAAGUCUUUCGUUAAAUCUGACGAUUUAAUCGUUAGGACGCGGGAGAUACUGCCAGGCUAGAGGGCGGGAGAGGUUGACGGUAGUCCCGGGGUAGGGGUGAAAUCCUAUAAUCCCGGGAGGACCACCAGUGGCGAAGGCGCUCAACUAGAACGCGCCUGACGGUGAGGGACGAAAGCUGGGGGAGCGAACCGGAUUAGACACCCGGGUAGUCCCAGCCGUAAACGAUGCGAGCUAGGUGUUGGGUCAGCUACGAGCUGCCCCGGUGCCGCAGAGAAGUCGUUAAGCUCGCCGUUUGGGAAGUACGGCCGCAAGGCUGAAACUUAAAGGAAUUGGCGGGGGAGCAC
This 552-nucleotide ribosomal RNA is filed under the name uncultured archaeon. RNAcentral describes it as "bacterial SSU rRNA". It matches the Rfam family "Archaeal small subunit ribosomal RNA", at positions 325 to 879 of the family's 1478-position model. The record is from RNAcentral.